Picea glauca (white spruce) is the source of this 124-nucleotide non-coding RNA. Lineage: Eukaryota; Viridiplantae; Streptophyta; Pinopsida; Pinales; Pinaceae. The record is from Rfam.
UCUUAUGUAUAUGCCUACAACGUUAAUGCAUCGGAUCCCAACAUAACUUUGUAGUUAAGCAUGCUUGGGCUAGACUAGUAUUGGGAUGGGUGACCUCUUGGGAAGUCCUAGUGUUUCACAUGCC